UAGGGAAUCUUCGGCAAUGGACGAAAGUCUGACCGAGCAACGCCGCGUGAGUGAAGAAGGUUUUCGGAUCGUAAAACUCUGUUGUUAGAGAAGAACAAGGACGUUAGUAACUGAACGUCCCCUGACGGUAUCUAACCAGAAAGCCACGGCUAACUACGUGCCAGCAGCCGCGGUAAUACGUAGGUGGCAAGCGUUGUCCGGAUUUAUUGGGCGUAAAGCGAGCGCAGGCGGUUUCUUAAGUCUGAUGUGAAAGCCCCCGGCUCAACCGGGGAGGGUCAUUGGAAACUGGGAGCCUUGAGUGCAGAAGAGGAGGGUGGAAUUCCAUGUGUAGCGGUGAAAUGCGUAGAUAUAUGGAGGAACGCCAGUGGCGAAGGCGGCUCUCUGGUCUGUAACUGACGCUGAGGCUCGAAAGCGUGGGGAGCAAACAGG
RNAcentral lists this ribosomal RNA (429 nucleotides) under Gemmatimonadota bacterium. Its description in RNAcentral is "Gemmatimonadetes bacterium partial 16S ribosomal RNA". It matches the Rfam family "Bacterial small subunit ribosomal RNA", at positions 355 to 776 of the family's 1533-position model. The record is from RNAcentral. Lineage: Bacteria; Pseudomonadati; Gemmatimonadota.